ACACGUAAGUGGCAAGCGUUGUUCGGAAUUAUUGGGCGUAAAGGGCGUGUAGGCGGCCUUGUAAGCCUGGUGUGAAAGCCCGCAGCUUAACUGCGGAUACGCGCUGGGAACUACAAGGCUGGAGUCUAAGAGGGGGAGCUGGAAUUCCAGGUGUAGGGGUGAAAUCUGUAGAUAUCUGGAAGAACACCGGAGGCGAAGGCGAGCUCCUGGCUAUAGACUGACGCUGAGGCGCGAAAGCGUGGGGAGCGAACAGGAUUAGAUACCCUGGUAGUCCACGCUGUAAACGUUGUGCACUAGGUGUUGGCCCUACGGGGGCAGUACCGCAGCUAACGCGAUAAGUGCACCGCCUGGGGAGUAUGCUCGCAAGGGUGAA
Molecule: ribosomal RNA, 373 nt
Filed under: uncultured bacterium
Lineage: Bacteria
Description: bacterial SSU rRNA
Rfam family: Bacterial small subunit ribosomal RNA
Source: RNAcentral